Anolis carolinensis (green anole) is the source of this 1884-nucleotide long non-coding RNA. RefSeq lists it as uncharacterized. NCBI's taxonomy places the organism in Eukaryota, Metazoa, Chordata, Lepidosauria, Squamata, Anolidae. The record is from RefSeq and is a predicted model, not a curated record. The transcript has 4 exons.
CCGAAAAGGCGGCCGUGGUGGAGGCGGGGCUUCUUCUUGGCGCCUCAGCCGUGAAUUUACCUCAGGAAACGGGGCCUCGUUUGGCGCCCAGUUGAAGAGUUGAAAGAGGAGAGAGACGCCUUUCCUUUGGGGAGUCACUUUUACCUCAGGAAAGGCUUUUCUUCCCGUCCAGAGGACCCUCUCUCUCCCACUCGAUUUUAGAAAUUUCUUUAUCAAACCUUUACCUCAGAAAAGCCUUGUGAAAUAGAAAGAAGAAAAUGCCAAUUUUAUUUAUUAAGAGAUUGUCACCUCAGACUUUACCUCAGAAAUGGCCAAGCCUUGUGAAACGGAAGGGAGAAACAAAGGCAAAACUUUUGAAAAUUAGCACAGCUUUUUCUGAAGGGACCAGAAAUUUCUUUAUCGAACCUUUACCUCAGAAAAGCCUUGUGAAAUAGAAAGAAGAAAAUGCCAAUUUUAUUUAUUAAGAGAUGGUCAUCUCAGACUUUACCUCAGAAAUGGCCAAGCCUUGUGAAACGGAAGGGAGAAACAAAGGCAAAACUUUUGAAAAUUAGCACAGCUUUUUCUGAAGGGACCAGCGCUGAAUUCAAGUCAAAGGGAAGAAAGGGAAGAAACAAAAGGUCGAAGAGACAGAAGACAGAAGAUGCUUGAAGACACUCUCGCAAGGACACCGCCCGCCCCCCAAAAAAGGUCAUUGUCAGGGUAAUGGGUGUCAGGCUAGGCAUUUCAUGUCUAUCUUUGCAAUAAAAAACAGGCUACCUGUGUGCUAGGCUUUUGCAUGAAGAACACGGUUCCCCUCGUGUGUGGCAUCGAAGGUUCCCACUCGGGAACGGACGGGUCCUCCCUUUGUUCUAGGCAGAUGAUGGGGGUUUUCCUAUACAAGCCGUAGGGGCCACAGCUUGGGGGGCAGCGGGGGGCCCGGCCCUGGCACCGCGGGGAGCAGCACACCUUACGGGCAUUUUAAAAGCUCCCUUAAACUUAGACAGUGGCUAGCAAUAAAAAUAUUAAUACCUUAACUCACCUACUAACCCUACUAACACCAUUCUAACUAGGGCAGGCUGGCCUUUUAAAUAGGACUGUGUUUUGCCUGCUGGCAAGAACCAAGCUGGGAGGGAAGGGGGCCUCCUGGCCCCCCAUAGAAGGGCUCCCCUAGAAGGACAUUCAAAAGGCCCGCAAGGUGUCCUGAGAGCAGCCCCUGGGGCCCUCAGUGUGCCCCCCACGGUGCCAGGGCUGGGCCCCCCGCUCUCCCCCAACCCAUGACCCCUGCCGCCUGUAUCUCGUCCGCCCAGGGCCAACGGACGCCCCCUCCCUCCCCGGGCGGAGCUUCGGCGCCACACACAAGGGGAGGCCAGCCGUGGCCGCCAGAACAUGGCCAACCUGGUUUUGGACUGCAAACAUAGGCAUGUAGGGACCCCCUUUUAUUUAUGUACGGCCACCCACCCAGGGGACCUGGUUAAAGGGGAUCCUCUAUUCUUAAAGUAAGGCCUAUAGAGAUCUCCUAUCCAGAAACUAAGGCGGCUUGGCCUAUAGAGAUCCCCUUUUGUUAAACUAAGGUGGCCUGGCCUAUAGAGAUCUCUUGUUGUUAAACUAAGGUGGCCUGGCCUAUAGAGAUCUCUUGUUGUUAAACUAAGGUGGCCUGGCCUAUAGAGAUCUCUUGUUGUUAAACUAAGGUGGCCUGGCCUAUAGAGAUCUCUUGUUGUUAAACUAAGGUGGCCUGGCCUAUAGAGAUCUCCUAUUCUUUAAGGUAACGCCAGGCGAUGUGGAGAUCCCUGGUUCUUUUAACCCUUAAGGCCAACCGUGGGGAGAUCCCUGGUUCUUUUAACCCUUAAGGCCAACCGUGGGGAGAUCCCUGGUUCUUUUAACCCUUAAGGCCAACCGUGGGGAGAU